GCAGACACAUUCCAGCCAAUCAGCAGCAGACCCUCCCUCCCAGACCCUCCCACCUCCUGGACAGCAUCCAUUUUGAAGCUGCAUUCUUAGUGAGCUGUCCAGGAGGUGGGAGGGUCUGGGAGGGAGGGUUUGCUGCUGAUUGGCUGGAAUGUGUCUG
This is a non-coding RNA of Pelobates cultripes (western spadefoot toad), 157 nucleotides long. Lineage: Eukaryota; Metazoa; Chordata; Amphibia; Anura; Pelobatidae. The record is from the annotation of a GenBank genome assembly.